Long non-coding RNA from Monomorium pharaonis (pharaoh ant), 1620 nucleotides. RefSeq lists it as uncharacterized. The transcript is spliced from 2 exons. Lineage: Eukaryota; Metazoa; Arthropoda; Insecta; Hymenoptera; Formicidae. The record is from RefSeq and is a predicted model, not a curated record.
CCGGGAGAGGCGAAAAAUGUUUCUAUUGUGUUUAAAUUAAGAAAAAAUCUUUGAAAAACCUAGUGGAAGCGACUGAAUCCAAAACGACUCAGCUUACUUUAAAUAAAUAAUCAAAAGCAGCCCACUCACCGGCGCAGCUCCAUUCCUUCCAUAUCUUGAAGAGUAGAGGUAAAAAAUCAAGAUAUAAAAAUCAAUAAAAUAAUAAAUUAAUGAGUAUAAUAAUCUUGCAGUCAUUAUCCCAUACAGCAAAAUGUUAACAGAUAUCUUUUUUAAGAUAUCUUAUAUAAGAUAUCAAAAAGAUAUCUAAAAUAAGAUAUUAAAAAGAUAUCUAAAAUUAGAUGUCAAAAAGAUAUCUAAAAUUAGAUGUACAUUUUUACAUCUACUAUUAUAUUAGUAUUUAAAACAAGCCAUUUUAUGUAAGAAACAUCUUAAACAAGACAUCUUUUAGAUCUCUUGACAUGGACAUCUUAAUUUAUUUAUCUAAUAAAUAUCUUUCUUCACAAGGUCUGUAGAUGAACGACGGGAGGGGAAGGAAGGUCAUCGCAUGAGCGCCAUUUUGGAGUCAUAAGGUGUAUGUGUAGUGUUUGUUGUACGAGAAGAGUGAGUGAGUAGUAAUAAGGGAAAGGUGAAAUUGAUACAUCGUAUUGGCCCCGGCCAUUUUGUGGCCAAAAUGUAAAACAAUGGAUGGGAAGACCUUCCUUCGCCUCCCGUCGUUCAUCUACAGACCUUGUUUCUUCAUUACUAAAAAAGUCAUCUUAAAAAAAAUAGGCAUGCCCAUAGGCAUGUAUAUCCAAUUUAUCUCUUAUGUUGUUUUGAUUUUGUUUUAAAUUUAAUAAGAUUCAGUUAUAGUUCAAUUUAUAUAAACAUAUAAUUAUUAAUUUUCAGGAAAAUAUGGAUAAAGACAAUAUUAGAACUUUAUUAUUAUUGUAUCAACAACAUCCAUGUUUAUAUGUUGUAAAAUCUGUUGAUUAUCACAAUCAAAACAAGAAAAAGCGUUACAAACAAUAUGUGAUCAGUAUGCAGAGAUCACAAAACAGCCAUUAACGAUGGAAAUUGCAAAAAAGAAAAUAAAUAAUCUAAGAUCGCAAUAUUUAGAAUAUCUGAAUAAAAUUAAAGUCAAAAGCAAGUGGAGCAUCAACAGAUGAAAUUUAUAAACCCAUCUGAUGGUUGUAUGAGGAUAUGAAAUUUCUGGAUCCUUAUAUUUCACAGAGGAAAGGAGAAUCUUCUAUAAAAAAAAAGGGUAAGUACAAAUAAAAUACUUAAGAGUUAUUAAGAUAUUACGAUUAGAUAAAAAAUAAUUAAGAAUAAUGAUAAUUUAUAGUUUUCCAAGAAGCAGAAUCUUUAAUGGCAUUAAUAAAUGAAAAUGAUGAUGAAAAUAAAAAACAAUGAAAAUGUGUAACUUUUGGACGUUUAUAAUCUCUUAGAAAAUAAAGACAAUAUAAUAAAGGUAAAAAAAUAAUAGAAAUUUUUGUUAUGUUUUAUAUAAACUUAAAUUUAUUUAUAGUUAUUAUUUUUAUAUAGAAAAUAUCCAUCAAAAUGAAUUUCAUCAGAGUGAGUCGUCAUCUUCAGUAAGCACUUGUUCAGUUAACACUUCAACACGCAGCACAUCGUUACCUAAAA